UUGACACAGAGAAGUAGUGACAAGAAAUAUCAAUAGAGGGCGUUUUAUACGUCUUCUAAUUGGAAUGAGAACAAGGUAAACAGCUUAUCGAGGAUCCAGCAGAGGGCAAGUCUGGUGCCAGCAGCCGCGGUAAUUCCAGCUCUGUAAGCGUAUACCAAAGUUGUUGCAGUUAAAACGCUCGUAGUCGGAUUUUGGGGCAGCCCGUGCUGUGCGCGUAGUGCGUGCGGCGCUGGGAUGUUCUUUUGUGGAGGGCGGCGCGUCGUGGCUUCACUGUCGCGGCGUGUCGGCACCACCGUUUACUGUGAAAAAAUUAGAGUGUUCAAAGCAGGCGUUUGCCGUGAAUACAUUAGCAUGGAAUAAUAGAAUAGGACUUGGUUUCUAUUUUGUUGGUUUGUGAGAGCCGAGUAAUGAUUAAGAGGGACGGUUGGGGGCAUUCGUAUUCCAGCGUCAGAGGUGAAAUUCUUGGAUUGCUGGAAGACAAACCGCUGCGAAAGCGUCUGCCAAGGACGUUUUCAUUGAUCAAGAACGAAAGUAAGGGGAUCGAAGACGAUCAGAUACCGUCGUAGUCUUUACUAUAAACGAUGAGAACUGGGGAUCGGGCGGGCAUUAUGAUGACCCGUCCGGAACCCUCCGGGAAACCAAAGUGUUUGCUUUCUGGGGGGAGUGUGGUCGCAAGGCUGAAACUUAAAGGAAUUGACGGAAGGGCAUCACCGGGUGUGGAGCCUG
Molecule: ribosomal RNA, 726 nt
Filed under: uncultured marine eukaryote
Lineage: Eukaryota
Description: SSU rRNA
Rfam family: Eukaryotic small subunit ribosomal RNA
Source: RNAcentral